RNAcentral lists this unclassified non-coding RNA (253 nucleotides) under uncultured Halomonadaceae bacterium. Its description in RNAcentral is "contains 16S-23S intergenic spacer region". It matches the Rfam family "Bacterial small subunit ribosomal RNA", at positions 524 to 776 of the family's 1533-position model. The record is from RNAcentral. Lineage: Bacteria; Pseudomonadati; Pseudomonadota; Gammaproteobacteria; Oceanospirillales; Halomonadaceae.
UACGGAGGGUGCGAGCGUUACUCGGAAUUACUGGGCGUAAAGCGGGCGUAGGCGGCUUGAUAAGCCGGUUGUGAAAGCCCCGGGCUCAACCUGGGAACCGCGUCCGGAACUGUCAGGCUAGAGUGCGGGAGAGGAAGGUAGAAUUCCCGGUGUAGCGGUGAAAUGCGUAGAGAUCGGGAGGAAUACCAGUGGCGAAGGCGGCCUUCUGGACUGACACUAACGCUGAGGUGCGAAAGCGUGGGUAGCAAACAGG